This 918-nucleotide long non-coding RNA is filed under the name Hordeum vulgare. Its description in RNAcentral is "long non-coding RNA (HVUL_LNC012987)". The record is from RNAcentral. Lineage: Eukaryota; Viridiplantae; Streptophyta; Magnoliopsida; Poales; Poaceae.
CUAUCUCUACUCUAGUCAUAAUUUUGUUUUGUUACAUUGUCCAAAAUAAGAACUGGAUUCUAUGUUAAUAUGUUUUUUUUUUCAAAUUACAUGAGUGUGUUUAAUUUUGAAUUUGUGACAUUUGUCCUGUUUUCUCAAGCGUGGUUGCGGGAAAGCAGAGUUUACCCAGUUAUCGAUGUGAUACCAAGUUUCCCAAUCAUCUAAUCUGUAAUUGAGUUCCAAUUUAUUUGGUAGAGUUCUUCGAGGCUAUAGCUUAAUGUAGAUGCAAACUUUAUUUCAAGUUUCUCAUUUGUGUUAGCGUAUCUGUCCUACCGUCCAUUCUCACAUAACACUGAAGGGCUUUGAACGAACUCACAACCUACUAGACUACUAGUACGCAUACCACAUGGAAAUUAGUCAUAGCGCAUGGUGAUUAGAUGCCAGCAAACACAAAUGAUUUUGAUAGGAAGUUUCACCAUGUGGCAAGCUGGAAAUAGCACCUUGUAAGCAAUUUUAAUAGUUUGGUACUGGGCCAUGAAGUGAAAUGAAAUGAUAUCUCUUGGCCAUGAACGGAACAGAGUACUUUGAUCCCUAUAUGCAUCCUACUGGGCCAAGAACGCAGAUGAUCUCCGGUUGUAGUUUAUCAAUCCUCCCAGAAGAAUAAACAAACCUUGUCAUGAUAUUCCCAGUAGCCAAAGUAACUCGGUGACCUAGGAUAUAUCAUGCAAAAUCAAUGAAACUAAUCCGUGAUUAAUAGUAACAAUGUUGUAGAACCACAGAAAGACGAAACCAACUAUAUCAAAUUAUUGAACUCCUUUGAAAUAGUGUUUAGUAGACUUACGAAUUGAGUGAGCAAAUAUCCGGAUACCUCUCAAGCCUACAACACACCUCUAAAACCUUAUGCACAUGCUUAAUGCCAAGUAUACUUGCACUCCCUUG